RNAcentral lists this long non-coding RNA (2816 nucleotides) under Homo sapiens (human). Its description in RNAcentral is "PREDICTED lncRNA (TCONS_00063945)". The record is from RNAcentral. Lineage: Eukaryota; Metazoa; Chordata; Mammalia; Primates; Hominidae.
ACAUUUUUGCAUGGUUCUUGAUUGACUUUCUGGUGCUCUGCCUGGAGGUCUUUGCUUAUCUGUGAGUUGCCUGAGUCACAUUUUUACAUGGUUCUGGUGCUCUGCCUGCAGGUCAAGAAGGAGCCAGUAUCUCCAGGAGGAGUGAGAGAGUGCUCUGCCAGUGUGAAGUGUGAAUCCUUGAGAGGCUGUGGCAAGGGUCCAUGCCUGAAUGUGUAGAACAAGAACAGCUGGAGGCUGUGGCUUUCUCCAGGAAGAGGUUUCUAAAUCUGCCUCUUAGAAGAUAUCAGAAAGUUAAAGUUUCUCUUGCUGCCGCCGUGUAAGAAGGACCUUUUGCCUCCCACCAUGAUUCUAAGUCCUCCCCAGCCACGUGGAACUAGCCAAGUAAUCUAAGAAAGGCAGAAUGACAGCUAGCCUGGGAAAUGGAAUAACAUCACUUCUGUCACAUUCCAUUGGCCAAACAUAUCAAACUUGAUACAGCAUGAGAGGGGACUAUACAAGAAUGUGGAUACCAGGAAAUGAGGAUCAGUGGGGACCAGCUUGGAGGCUGACAACAACAGGAGAUGAUAAUGAAUAGUGAAAAAUGCCAAGCAGACAAUAAGCAGAAGGAACAGAGGAAAUCCACAAACUGGAUAAUUGUUUCUUGAGUAACUGACCAUCAAUCUAGAUAGUGGUUGCAGUAAUUUCAAAUUCUUCUCUUCCUUUUCACUUCAGGCUUUCAUUUGGUCUCUUUUCGAAUCAGAAGACCCAGAAAACUUGGAUCCACUUCUGGCUCUCAUCCCUCUGGGCAGUGUGAUUUGGAGUAAAGCAGCUACGGCUUAGAAAGGCUGAGGAACUUGCCUGAGGCUAUCCAGCUACUGAGAGAUAAACUGGGGUGUGAAUUCAGAGAGCUUGACUCCUGAGGCUCCACCUGUGCCUAUAAUUCCAGCAUGACACCUGGUAAUGGGCACUCAGUAUAUGCUUGUUGAUCUAAACUCAGUGUGUGUGUGUGUGUCUGUGUGUGUCUGUGUGUGUGUGUGUGUGUGUGUGUGUGUGUGUGGUCUUCCUCUCACAUCCAAAGCUACUAGCACUGAGGAAGUUGGGCAUGGUGUAGGAAAGAGAAAUCUUUGCUGUUAAAUCUCAUUUCCAGCAUAACUGUCAAUGGAGAGGUGGCAUGGAAGGGACAACCAGUUCGUGUACCAAAUUACUCUCAGCUUGCUUGUUGUCUUAGGCAUAUGUUCUGGGAGUGGCCAACACCUGUUUUACAUCUGUGUUAGUCUUUGCGGAAUAAAAAGCAAAUUAGGGUUUAAUGGGGACUAUUAAUCUUGUCACCUAAUUGAGUAGAUCUAAUAAAUCUUUUCAUUCAAAACCCAAUGGGAAUUUCUAGUUGGAAAUGAGUGUGGGGAAUAUUCAAUCUCAAAAAUAUUUUCAUACACAAAGAUUAUAUAUGAGUUUGUGAAAGAUGUUGAAUAUUCAAUGAAAUUUAAUGAGUAUGAAUUGAACACUUAUCCUGGGCCUAGAACUGUUGGCAGUUGCUUUUGAGAGUUACAGAGUACAUUUAUGGUAAUUACUGCACUUACGAAUUUUGCUAUGUGGUUUGGGAGUAUCUGAAGUAUCUUAUAGUAGGUCUCUAAACUGGUAAUAAUAAAAAGUUCAAAUAUAUUAUUUUGUUACACUCCACGAGGAUCAAACUUCAUCAUGACAUGAUUAUAAUUUGAAAUAUGAGUAAGAAAUACGUAGGGUCAUGAUCUCUAUAAGCCCAUUCUUUGCUUCUUAAUUAAAUUUUGCAGCUGAUAGAAACAUUGAAAGCAGAGCAUUAGCUUAUAAAUAAUUCAGAAAAUGGUUGGUAACUCCCAUAGUAUAUGUUUUAUGAGUUUUGUUUAAGAAGAGUCUAUUUCGUGUUAGGUAAAGUUGGCCAUUGUUUAGAAUAAAGACCUGCAUUACUUUCUAUUCUAAAUUAAACUGUUAAUGGGAGUGCUUGCAAAGGCCUUGGUGCUUUUUUUUCUGUUUAAUAGGAGCAACAUCACUUUGGAUCAAUUAUUUAAUUUCCUUAUGUCAGAGUUCUUUCAAUUUAAAGGAAAAUAUUUCCUUUCCUCAUUCCUUUUUCUCUGAGGAUGAACCAGACAUUGGAAGUUGUAGCCUGGGAUUGUACUGGAGCUCUCACUGUGGUUGCAUUCUUUCUUCACAUUCAGCGUCCUCCUUAAAGCACACAUUUUCACGUACAUCUAUUAAAUUACCUGGGAGAGAGUUCUAGACACUAUCAGUCAGUAAAUCCAGUUGUCUCAUUUUUCAGUUUUAGCUAUUGUUGCGGUCAUAUGCCAAGGCUUGUAUGAAUGAAGGGUCUAUAAAAAUAUCUGCUGUGGUGUGAUUUUUUUUAUCCUUGUAUGAGACCAUAGCAUGAGACAGUAGACUGGCAAAUUGGCAGGGCGAGGAGAGUGUUUGUGCUUACACGGGGCAAUGAAAAGAGUUUUGAUUCUUCUUUAGCUAAAUGUUAUAAAACUUUAAAGCUUACAUUUGAAUAAUCGUUGCAGAUGGGUUAGAUAAAAUCCAUCAACUCACAAUGUUUUUCCUGUUUCCAUUCACUAGUGAGUAACAAGGUUAAAAGAAGGAAUGUUCUAUAAAAUAAGAUAUAGAAUUUGGGUUAGGUUUACAAGUGAAGAGUUCCUCUUUGCCCUGCCCCCAAAUUAUUUUUAGGCCCCAGGCCUCUGAAGCCAAGGUAAUCUGCAGGGCAGCUUUCACAUUUUAUCACAAGUCAGUGGUCUCUCCUCUUCCUUGUCCCUCCUAUCUUGCCGGCAAAUGGCUCUGUGGGAAACCCAUUCUGCUUCCUGUUUAAACUGUAG